CACAUGCAUCUGUCAGCAGUCACAUCUCCAAGUAGGGGUUGCAGUCCAGUAGAGAAGAAACAAUAAAUUUGUCUCUGCAGGAACAUAGUGUGGUUUAUCAAGGGAAUGAGAGAGUAUACAAGGUCUGGAUUUGAGAAUGCCUCUAAGAGCUUUGUAGCAAAGGACCUGGAUGUGUCCAUGGUAGGCCGUUCCUUCAUAAUCACCGGAGCCAACAGCGGAAUAGGGAAGGCAACGCUCAUGGCCAUAGCCAAAAAAGAUCAAUAAUGCCAGAUGUAUGGUGAACCAGAGGGAAAUAAACUCUGACGGACUGGAAUUUUUUGUUGCAACCAAUAAACCUGGUGUUUAUGUUCUGAAUAAAUGUCUGAUUCCAUUGCUUGAGAAGAGCAGGGACCCUCGUGUUGUGAGUGGAUAAACAAUAUUGAUCUCAACGCCUUGAUUUAUUAAAUACAAUUGAG
Carassius carassius (crucian carp) is the source of this 455-nucleotide long non-coding RNA. RefSeq lists it as uncharacterized. The record is from RefSeq and is a predicted model, not a curated record. The transcript is spliced from 4 exons. NCBI's taxonomy places the organism in Eukaryota, Metazoa, Chordata, Actinopteri, Cypriniformes, Cyprinidae.